This 483-nucleotide ribosomal RNA is filed under the name uncultured bacterium. RNAcentral's name for it is "partial 16S ribosomal RNA". It matches the Rfam family "Bacterial small subunit ribosomal RNA", at positions 30 to 506 of the family's 1533-position model. The record is from RNAcentral.
AUUGAACGCUGGCGGCAGGCCUAACACAUGCAAGUCGAGCGGAUGAAGGGAGCUUGCUCCUGGAUUCAGCGGCGGACGGGUGAGUAAUGCCUAGGAAUCUGCCUGGUAGUGGGGGAUAACGUCCGGAAACGGGCGCUAAUACCGCAUACGUCCUGAGGGAGAAAGUGGGGGAUCUUCGGACCUCACGCUAUCAGAUGAGCCUAGGUCGGAUUAGCUAGUUGGUGGGGUAAAGGCCUACCAAGGCGACGAUCCGUAACUGGUCUGAGAGGAUGAUCAGUCAAACUGGAACUGAGACACGGUCCGAACCCCUACGGGGGGCAGCAGUGGGGAAUAUGGGAAAAGGGGCGAAAGCCUGAUCCAGCCAUGCCGGGUGGGUGAAAAAGGUCUUGGGAUUUUAAAGCCCUUUAAGUUGGGAGGAAGGGCAGUAAGUUAAAACCUGGCUUUUUUGACGUUACCAAAAAAAUAAGCACCGGCUAACUUCGG